CUCUAUGGCAGAGUCAGGAUUGGAUAACCGUAAGGUCCCCGGAUCCAAGGCUGGCUCCAGAUAGUAUGCCCGUAAAUCCUCCCAGAAAGAUGGGGUCUCACUAUGAGAAGGAAACACUUACAAUGUUAAAUGAACAAAGCAGGAUUUGCAAACAAAAGAGAUAAGCGAACUCCAUGCUGCUUUUCAGGGACAACUUUGCUGCAAGCUCUCAGAAGGCUCGCUGUACACCUGGCCUGUGCUGGACACUGGGGAGUAGCUGAGGAAGCCAUGCUCUGUGUGCUCA
Long non-coding RNA from Symphalangus syndactylus (siamang), 283 nucleotides. RefSeq lists it as uncharacterized. The record is from RefSeq and is a predicted model, not a curated record. NCBI's taxonomy places the organism in Eukaryota, Metazoa, Chordata, Mammalia, Primates, Hylobatidae.